Molecule: ribosomal RNA, 490 nt
Filed under: uncultured bacterium
Lineage: Bacteria
Description: partial 16S ribosomal RNA
Rfam family: Bacterial small subunit ribosomal RNA
Source: RNAcentral
AUUGAACGCUGGCGGCAGGCCUAACACAUGCAAGUCGAACGGUAACAGGAAACAGCUUGCUGUUUCGCUGACGAGUGGCGGACGGGUGAGUAAUGUCUGUGAAACUGCCUGAUGGAGGGGGAUAACUACUGGAAACGGUAGCUAAUACCGCAUAACGUCGCAAGACCAAAGAGGGGGACCCUCGGGCCUCUUGCCAUCGGAUUUGCCCAGAUGGGAUUAGCUUGUUGGUGGGGUAACGGCUCACCAAGGCGACGAUCCCUAGCUGGUCUGAGAGGAUGACCAGCCACACUGGAACUGAGACACGGUCCAGACUCCUACGGGAGGCAGCAGUGGGGAAUAUUGCACAAUGGGCGCAAGCCUGAUGCAGCCAUGCCGCGUGUAUGAAGAAGGCCUUCGGGUUGUAAAGUACUUUCAGCGGGGAGGAAGGGAGUAAAGUUAAUACCUUUGCUCAUUGACGUUACCCGCAGAAGAAGCACCGGCUAACUCCGUG